GAUGAACGCUGGCGGCGUGCCUAAUACAUGCAAGUCGAGCGAACGGACGAGAAGCUUGCUUUUCUGAUGUUAGCGGCGGACGGGUGAGUAACACGUGGAUAACCUACCUAUAAGACUGGGAUAACUUCGGGAAACCGGAGCUAAUACCGGAUAAUAUUUUGAACCGCAUGGUUCAAAAGUGAAAGACGGUCUUGCUGUCACUUAUAGAUGGAUCCGCGCUGCAUUAGCUAGUUGGUAAGGUAACGGCUUACCAAGGCAACGAUGCAUAGCCGACCUGAGGGGGUGAUCGGCCACACUGGAACUGAGACACGGUCCAGACUCCUACGGGAGGCAGCAGUAGGGAAUCUUCCGCAAUGGGCGAAAGCCUGACGGAGCAACGCCGCGUGAGUGAUGAAGGCCUUCGGAUCGUAAAACUCUGUUAUUAGGGAAGAACAUAUGUGUAAGUAACUGUGCACAUCUUGACGGUACCUAAUCAGAAAGCCACGGCUAACUACGUGCCAGCAGCCGCGGUAAUACGUAGGUGGCAAGCGUUAUCCGGAAUUAUUGGGCGUAAAGCGCGCGUAGGCGGUUUUUUAAGUCUGAUGUGAAAGCCCACGGCUCAACCGUGGAGGGUCAUUGGAAACUGGAAAACUUGAGUGCAGAAGAGGAAAGUGGAAUUCCAUGUGUAGCGGUGAAAUGCGCAGAGAUAUGGAGGAACACCAGUGGCGAAGGCGACUUUCUGGUCUGUAACUGACGCUGAUGUGCGAAAGCGUGGGGAUCAAACAGGAUUAGAUACCCUGGUAGUCCACGCCGUAAACGAUGAGUGCUAAGUGUUAGGGGGUUUCCGCCCCUUAGUGCUGCAGCUAACGCAUUAAGCACUCCGCCUGGGGAGUACGACCGCAAGGUUGAAACUCAAAGGAAUUGACGGGGACCCGCACAAGCGGUGGAGCAUGUGGUUUAAUUCGAAGCAACGCGAAGAACCUUACCAAAUCUUGACAUCCUUUGACAACUCUAGAGAUAGAGCCUUCCCCUUCGGGGGACAAAGUGACAGGUGGUGCAUGGUUGUCGUCAGCUCGUGUCGUGAGAUGUUGGGUUAAGUCCCGCAACGAGCGCAACCCUUAAGCUUAGUUGCCAUCAUUAAGUUGGGCACUCUAAGUUGACUGCCGGUGACAAACCGGAGGAAGGUGGGGAUGACGUCAAAUCAUCAUGCCCCUUAUGAUUUGGGCUACACACGUGCUACAAUGGACAAUACAAAGGGCAGCGAAACCGCGAGGUCAAGCAAAUCCCAUAAAGUUGUUCUCAGUUCGGAUUGUAGUCUGCAACUCGACUACAUGAAGCUGGAAUCGCUAGUAAUCGUAGAUCAGCAUGCUACGGUGAAUACGUUCCCGGGUCU
This 1372-nucleotide ribosomal RNA is filed under the name uncultured bacterium. RNAcentral describes it as "bacterial SSU rRNA". It matches the Rfam family "Bacterial small subunit ribosomal RNA", at positions 28 to 1381 of the family's 1533-position model. The record is from RNAcentral.